UACCAGCUCAGUUCGUGUGUCAUUCAGUGUUCCCUGUGUGGAUAUACCAUGUUGGUUGGAUUCAUUAAAGACUAUUUUGUGUUAUCCUUGGAUCCGUGUUCCGGCAAUGAUCGUGACACAUGAAAGUGACCUUAUGCCAUCCAUCCUUGACCCCGGGAAGCUUCUAAGCUCUCAUUUACCAGAUGGACAAAUGCAGGAUUAGAGAGAGUGUGCACCUUUUUCCCAAAACACCAUAAAUAAUUGAGCGCUAGCAGAGGUCAUUCCUGGAGCAGGUCUUAUUAAGGACGGAGGUGAAGCAUGGAGUCUGGUGGCUUCUUAUCCAUGAAGGCGAGAACACAACCUCGCCAGGUGUUUUUAAGAUUGGUUUAAGAUUCUGAAGCCAGGUGCACAGACAGGAGAACAACGGGUGUUCUCUGAUACACUUAAUCCACGGAAAGGCAGGGACUUGGACUGACCAAAAGCAUAAGGCCACACCCCAUCCUGUGCCGGUCAAAAUGCACCAGAGCACAGCAGUGCGUCUGUCAUUAGCCUCCCGAUGGGCCGGGCUCCAGGGUCAGGGUGGCACCAGGCCAUUUGGACAUAGAGGUGAAAGAAGAGGACAAAUGGAGUGGGAGGAGGAAAAAAGGUGGAGACUGCUGGUUUAAAAGAGAGUGGGCCUAAGGUGAAGACUGCACCUAUGGGGGAUUCACGCUCACACACAGAUUGAUGGAUGGUGGAAAUACUCAGCAUGGAUGGAAGGUGUGUAAGACGCAUAAGGGAUUUGAGGCACGAGGGAGGAAUCACUUCCCAAUGGAGAUAAAUGAGAGAGAUGCUUGAAAAUGAGAGAUCUGGAGUUGGCCCCUCCAGGAUUUUAGCAAAUAUUAAAGGAGUAGUUUGGUAUGUUGUUUUAUUUUUUCAGUGGAACAUAAAUUGAGAAUUUUUAAAGCAUCUAUCCGAAGCCCUUUUUUCCAAAUGAACCAUCCUGUGG
Molecule: long non-coding RNA, 967 nt
Organism: Cyprinus carpio (common carp)
Lineage: Eukaryota; Metazoa; Chordata; Actinopteri; Cypriniformes; Cyprinidae
Exons: 3
Source: RefSeq, a predicted model, not a curated record